GAAUCGCGAAAUGUAUUGUGAAUUGCAGAAUUCAGUGAAUCAUCGAAUCUUUGAACGCACAUUGCACUCUUUGGUACUCCGAAGAGUAUGCAUGUUUGAGUAUCAAUAACCCCCUCUACACAUGAAUGAAUUUUCGUUCAGUGUAGGAUCUGAGUCUCCGUAUGACAUGUUGAGUCCUCUGUCAGAGCGGUUUCUUUAAAUAAAUGAUGCGGCCAGAAUCACGUAGUGGAUUUAGCAACAUAAUAAUUGCGGAAGCGAAAGCCUCUAAUUUUAUUGCUUGUUAAUAUCGUUUAAGCUGCGCGACUAGGCUUUUUGCAAAUACGAAUAGACGCCAAACGAAAAUCUGAUUUUCGCGGAAUCUAUUAUAUCUUGAUCUCAAAUCAUGUAGGACUACCCGCUG
RNAcentral lists this unclassified non-coding RNA (400 nucleotides) under uncultured fungus. Its description in RNAcentral is "sequence contains ITS1". The stretch from base 1 to 105 matches the Rfam family "5.8S ribosomal RNA", at positions 50 to 154 of the family's 154-position model. The record is from RNAcentral. Lineage: Eukaryota; Fungi.